RNAcentral lists this ribosomal RNA (493 nucleotides) under uncultured Gemmatimonas sp. RNAcentral's name for it is "bacterial SSU rRNA". It matches the Rfam family "Bacterial small subunit ribosomal RNA", at positions 8 to 507 of the family's 1533-position model. Lineage: Bacteria; Pseudomonadati; Gemmatimonadota; Gemmatimonadia; Gemmatimonadales; Gemmatimonadaceae. The record is from RNAcentral.
AGAGUUUGAUCCUGGCUCAGGACGAACGCUGGCGGCGUGCUUAACACAUGCAAGUCAGGGGGCUUGGGCAACCAGGUCACCGGCGAACGGGUGCGGAACACGUGAGCGACCUGCCCUGGAGUGGGGGAUAGCCGGCCCAACGGCCGGGUAAUACCGCAUACGGCCUGCCCCGUUGGGGGGCGAGGCGAAACGCGUGCAAGCGCGGUUCUGGGAGGGGCUCGCGGCCUAUCAGCUAGUUGGGGGGUAACGGCUUCCCAAGGCGAUGACGGGUAGCUGGUCUGAGAGGAUGGCCAGCCACAUUGGGACUGAGAGACGGCCCAGACUCCUACGGGAGGCAGCAGUGGGGAAUCUUGCGCAAUGGGCGAAAGCCUGACGCAGCGACGCCGCGUGGGGGAGGAAGGCCUUCGGGUUGUAAACCCCUUUGGCCCGGGACGAACGACGCCUUGCGAGGCGUGUGACGGUACCGGGAGAACAAGCACCGGCUAACUCUGUG